This 404-nucleotide ribosomal RNA is filed under the name uncultured bacterium. RNAcentral's name for it is "bacterial SSU rRNA". It matches the Rfam family "Bacterial small subunit ribosomal RNA", at positions 355 to 776 of the family's 1533-position model. RNAcentral also lists the same sequence under 1 other name. The record is from RNAcentral.
UGGGGAAUAUUGGACAAUGGGCGAAAGCCUGAUCCAGCCAUGCCGCGUGAGUGAUGACGGCCCUAGGGUUGUAAAGCUCUUUCGCAGGUGAAGAUAAUGACGGUAACCUGAGAAGAAGCCCCGGCUAACUUCGUGCCAGCAGCCGCGGUAAUACGAAGGGGGCUAGCGUUGUUCGGAAUUACUGGGCGUAAAGCGCACGUAGGCGGACUAUUAAGUCAGGGGUGAAAUCCCGGGGCUCAACCCCGGAACUGCCUUUGAUACUGGUAGUCUUGAGUCCGAGAGAGGUGAGUGGAAUUCCGAGUGUAGAGGUGAAAUUCGUAGAUAUUCGGAGGAACACCAGUGGCGAAGGCGGCUCACUGGCUCGGUACUGACGCUGAGGUGCGAAAGCGUGGGGAGCAAACAGG